GUUGAUUUUUCCCACAUACAAGAUAAAAUUAAUAUGACAGAGCAUUAUUCCUAGAAGCAUGCUCUCUUUGGUAAAGCUUUCGUGUGAGAAUCUGCUUAUAUUUGCAGCCGUCUGAUGUUUAAAAACAGAAUUAUUCAACAUCUCUGAGUAGUUCUCUCUGACCCCUUGUUUGCUUGUUUUCUAGGUUACCCAGGAGCACCAGAAAGAUUUCCAGCCAUGUUGUGCCACCCCGUGUAGGAAAUGGGAAAUUGCACAGCUCUGCUCACCAUCAUGACCUGAGUGGUGUCCUGCAGAUGGCAAUCUGUGCAAUUUGAAGGCAGUUUUGAGUUUAUCAGCAACCAAAUUAUAUUUAGAAAAGCUCAACGGUAGUUUGUAUGAAACUUUUUUUUUCUUAAAACAUUAACCUUAAACCUUUUGAUAUAAUAAGUAAUAGUGACCCUUGUUAUAUUACAGGUCUGAUGAAGGAUAAGGAAGGUUGCCACACACCCUCAAUUUUCAGAGCUCAGCUGAACCCAACUCCAUCUGGAAUAAUUCCAGCUGUUCACAAACACUGUGCUCCAGCAGACUGAGAUCUCUAUCCACUCAGUCCUAAAUACCUGAGCAAGAGCCUUACAAACUGUGUACAGAAUUCCUGUGAUCAGAUCUGCACUACGAAAAACCGGGAUAUUAUGGGCACGAGCUGUUCCAAGUUCCUGCUGUACCCCGGGCUCAAACAGACAUUGGUGCAUCUUUGCCUUUUGGACAACAUUCCGGCUGUGAGGAGCAGGAAUUCAAGUUGGUUGCUGUCUGACUGCAGCAAUGUUAGUGGCACAGGGCCAGUUCUGUGUAACUGAGUUUUUUGGCACACACACAGAGAUGUGUAUGUUCACAUUCCAGCAGAUGUGCUGUUGCAGAAAUCAGCUCGUGAUUAAAAUAUGAAACUUGCCCCUCAGCUUCACGGAGUUUGUGCGUACAAACGCUGCGUUCCCGCUGCUGCGUCCCCGGCGGGGCGGGAAUCAGAGCUGUUCCUCAGACGGCGUUCUGCACCUCAGGCACAGCACUGCCACCUGUCGUUACCGCUGCCAAAGGACGGUGACCUCAGGCUUUGUGUAGCUCUCCCAGCUCGUGCUGUACGCGUGCAGUACCGCCCGGUUCCAUAAGGAAUGUUCAGCACCCCACUGCUGCCUCACGCAAGCGGCUCAAGUGGAGGCUGAGGAGCUUUCCUCGACGGCCCUGCUGCUACUGGCACGGGACUCAACGCCUCGGAAACCGCGCCUGUGACCUCCCGGGCCUGUCCUGGUUGUGAAUGCCCUCCGGCCAAGGGCCGCAGCGCUCAGUCUCAGCUCAUUCCAGCGGGGCGGGCAGCGCGGCUCGAUCUGUGAGCCGACGGAAGCGCCGAACCUCGACGCUGCCCUCGCUCACCACAGCCCUCACACGGGCACCGCCUCGCGCUUCCAACGGUCGUCCGCGUGCGAGCAGUAAGGGCGCGUGCGCCAGCUGGAGGAGGGAGGAGGGAAGCGGGAGGCGGGCGGCGCUGCAUUGGCGCAUGUGCACGAGCGCUCCAAUCCUUGCG
Long non-coding RNA from Gallus gallus (chicken), 1552 nucleotides. The record is from Ensembl. Lineage: Eukaryota; Metazoa; Chordata; Aves; Galliformes; Phasianidae.